GAUGAACGCUGGCGGCGUGCCUAAUACAUGCAAGUCGAGCGAACAGACGAGGAGCUUGCUCCUCUGACGUUAGCGGCGGACGGGUGAGUAACACGUGGAUAACCUACCUAUAAGACUGGGAUCACUUCGGGAAACCGGAGCUAAUACCGGAUAAUAUAUUGAACCGCAUGGUUCAAUAGUGAAAGACGGUUUUGCUGUCACUUAUAGAUGGAUCCGCGCCGCAUUAGCUAGUUGGUAAGGUAACGGCUUACCAAGGCAACGAUGCGUAGCCGACCUGAGAGGGUGAUCGGCCACACUGGAACUGAGACACGGUCCAGACUCCUACGGGAGGCAGCAGUAGGGAAUCUUACGCAAUGGGCGAAAGCCUGACGGAGCAACGCCGCGUGAGUGAUGAAGGUCUUCGGAUCGUAAAACUCUGUUAUUAGGGAAGAACAAAUGUGUAAGUAACUAUGCACGUCUUGACGGUACCUAAUCAGAAAGCCACGGCUAACUACGUG
RNAcentral lists this ribosomal RNA (497 nucleotides) under uncultured bacterium. RNAcentral's name for it is "partial 16S ribosomal RNA". It matches the Rfam family "Bacterial small subunit ribosomal RNA", at positions 28 to 507 of the family's 1533-position model. The record is from RNAcentral.